This 425-nucleotide long non-coding RNA is filed under the name Bos taurus (domestic cattle). Its description in RNAcentral is "long non-coding RNA NONBTAT009768". The record is from RNAcentral. Lineage: Eukaryota; Metazoa; Chordata; Mammalia; Artiodactyla; Bovidae.
UACGUAUUUUAGAGCAUCCAUGUGUCCUUUUCUUCUCCUUUACCCUUAAGUUACCCUCUCCCAUCUAUGUUGCUUUGUUCAGAAAAUACGUUUAGGCAGAGACUAGGGAGCAGAGUAUUCAAAUAGCUGAAGUCUCACUUCUUUUUGUUGGUAGAAUACCAGUUUCCACAGCAUGAGACUACCAGCACAGUAAAAACCACCACAUGAAACAUUGUCUAGACUUGAUUUUCUUUGGAGGAUUCUGGGCAAGAAUUGUUACAGAGCCCAUGGAACUGAGUUGAACCUGUACCAACCCUGUCUUGAAUCUUAGAACUUCCUUUUCUUGAAGGAGUAUAUUCUUAAGUAGCAGCUUGUUUACUUGCUAUUUUCAUAAAAGUAAAAAUAUGCCAUAUAUAACUCAUGCCUGGUUCUUUGAGCUUUCACUG